UUCUGUUUUCAUACUUUUUGUUGUACAUAUGUAAGAGUUUUAUCUGCUUGUUCGUGUGUGCAAUACAUCCAUGCCUAGUGUCCAGGAGGUUUAAGAGGGUGUGAGAUUCCAUGAUGCUGAAAUUACAGCCACUUGUGAACUGUCACUUGGGAGCUAGGGUUCGGUCCUGAAUUCUCUUGAAGAACACAUAAUGUUAUUAAUCACCAAAUCAUUUCUUCAUCUUAAGCAAAUGCCACUUCUUGUAAAAAUAGUUCCUAAGCUGUCCUGUCUUCACCAUAGACCACUGUUUUCUCAAAUGUGAUAAUUUAUUAAACACACACCCACCUGCUUCUUACCUUCAUAUAUAUUCACACAAACACACAUACAAACAGAAACACACACACUCACACACAGAGACACACGCACAACUGCUCUUACCUUCAAGUUUACUUACAUACUUACUUACACACACACACACAUACACACACACACACACACACACACACACCUGCUUCUUACCUUCAAGUAGACUUAGUUAUUUUCACAUUAAUUUGUUUAUUUAUUCACUUUACAUGCUGCACCCUGCCCCCCUCCAGUUCACCCCUCUCACAAUCCUUUGCCCAUCCCUUUCUCUUUAGAGCAGGAGGGGAACCCUCGGGUAGCUCCUCCCCUUGCAUAUCCAGUCUCUAUGAUCACAUCCUCUGAUACUGAGGCCAGACACAGCAGCCUAGAUGGAUUGGGGUGGGGAGCUAGAAGUGAUUUCCAGAAAGAGGCAGAGAGCUGGGGUAAGAGAUGCCCAUUAAUCAAUGGGUGUUUCCUUAGCUGAGAAUCAGUCUCAGUGAUAUGGACCUAAAGAAGCCAUCUGCUGUCGCCAGAGAGCAACCCAAAUGGAAUGAUAAAGAGACACCAACUUUAGACACAAAAUUCAUUCUGACCACAAGAAAUGAAAGGGCUGUGCAUAGAGAAGAUAGUGAAAAAUGAUCAACCAAUGGUUACUGCAGAUUGAGACACAAUGGAUGAGCACCGAUCCCUUACACUAUUAAUGUGACUCUGUUAUGCUUGCAGACAGCAGUCUAGCAUGGCUUCCCUCUGUGAGAUUCCACUAAGCUGCUGACUCAGACAGAAGCAGGCAUCAUCUAGUCAAACCACGGUGGAGCUUGGGGACUCUGAUGGAAGAAGAGAAUGAAAAGGAUUAUGGCCUCUAAGGAUAUAGGCACUCCACAGGCUUUGUCUUCAUGCAGGCUAUGGUGUUGUGAAGACAAGAUACCACAUGUGCAGCUGUGAAUAAGUCUGAGAAGGCUGACUUCUUGGAUUUCUGAAGCAUUACUAAGUGAUCCAGAGGAAAUCAGCACCCCCUGCUCAGCAGAGCUCUGGGAAUGCUGACACUCUUGCUUCAUGUUUAUAUUAACCUAGGUCAAAAGAUCACCUGUCAGGGUCUCCAGGGAAGGCAUCAUCCCAACCUUCCAGCAUCAGUGAGCAAGUGCAACAGAUUAAGAAGUUUGUAGAAAUUGACUAAGGAGCUCCAGAAGAUGACAUGGUUUGCUGGGAAGGCAUCAUGCCAACCUUUCACCAUCAGUGAGAAAGUACAGCACAUUAAGAAGUUGGAGAAACUGACUAUUGAGCUCAAGAAGAAAACCUAAAAGAAGAAGGUGUGUUUGAAUAACAGUGGAGAUAUGGCAAGCAAUGUGUGAGCUCUCAUCCUGGAUUUUAAUAGAAAAAAAUGGAUUUUCUGUCCUCAGAGGAACACAGAAAGCUGGUAAGCUACAGAAGCAUAGUAACUUAGACUUAGAUAAGAAAACUUUUGAUUUUUAUUUAUUUUAAAGAUUUAAUUUAUUUUAUUUUUAAGAGUAUACUUUACUUGUCAGACACACCAGAAGAGGGCAUCAGAUGACAUUAUAGAUGAUUGUAUGCCAUGAUGUGUACACUUGGAAUUGAACUCAUGACCUUUGGAAAAAACAGGCAGUACUCUUAAUUGCUGAAUAAUCUUCCCAGCCUAAACUAUUUCUCCUUCCUCUUCUUCUUCUUCUUCUUCUUCUUCUUCUUCUUCUUCUUCUUCUUCUUCUUCUUCUUCUUCUCCUCCUCCUCCUCCUCCUCC
This is a non-coding RNA of Rattus norvegicus (Norway rat), 2074 nucleotides long. The record is from RefSeq and is a predicted model, not a curated record. Lineage: Eukaryota; Metazoa; Chordata; Mammalia; Rodentia; Muridae.